This 30-nucleotide non-coding RNA is filed under the name Rattus norvegicus (Norway rat). Lineage: Eukaryota; Metazoa; Chordata; Mammalia; Rodentia; Muridae. The record is from RNAcentral.
UAACACUGGAUGUAUCAACCCCAGGAUGUU